Molecule: non-coding RNA, 124 nt
Organism: Citrus sinensis (sweet orange)
Lineage: Eukaryota; Viridiplantae; Streptophyta; Magnoliopsida; Sapindales; Rutaceae
Source: Rfam
CAGUGAAGAUCCGAUUAGCCAAGAUGGAUACUGCCUUCGAAUUUCCUAGAUACUUCUAAAAAUCUUCCUUGUAGCUAUAGUAAGAAGGCAAGUCAUUCUUGGCUACCAAGCAAGGUUUUUCAUC